Molecule: ribosomal RNA, 309 nt
Filed under: uncultured bacterium
Lineage: Bacteria
Description: partial 16S ribosomal RNA
Rfam family: Bacterial small subunit ribosomal RNA
Source: RNAcentral
AGAGACAGCAGCCGCCGCGGUAAUACGUAGGGGGCAAGCGUUAUCCGGAAUUACUGGGUGUAAAGGGAGCGUAGACGGUUAAACAAGUCUGAAGUGAAAUGCCGGGGCUCAACCCCGGAGCUGCUUUGGGAACUGUAGAACUGGAGUGUCGGAGGGUAAGCGGAAUCCCCAGUGUAGCGGUGAAAUGCGUAGAUAUUGGGAGGAACACCGGCGGCGAAGGCGGCUUACUGGACGACAACUGACGUUGGGGCUCGAAGGCGUGGGUAGCAAACAGGAUUAGAUACCCCGGUAGUCCCUGUCUCUUAUACA